This 497-nucleotide ribosomal RNA is filed under the name uncultured bacterium. RNAcentral describes it as "partial 16S ribosomal RNA". It matches the Rfam family "Bacterial small subunit ribosomal RNA", at positions 28 to 507 of the family's 1533-position model. The record is from RNAcentral.
GAUGAACGCUGGCGGCGUGCCUAAUACAUGCAAGUCGAGCGAACGGACGAGAAGCUUGCUUCUCUGAUGUUAGCGGCGGACGGGUGAGUAACACGUGGAUAACCUACCUAUAAGACUGGGAUAACUUCGGGAAACCGUAGCUAAUACCGGAUAAUAUUUUGAACCGCAUGGUUCAAAAGUGAAAGACGGUCUGGCUGUCACUUAUAGAUGGAUCCGCGCUGCAUUAGCUAGUUGGUAAGGUAACGGCUUACCAAGGCAACGAUGCAUAGCCGACCUGAGAGGGUGAUCGGCCACACUGGAUCUGAGACACGGUCCAGACUCCUACGGGAGGCAGCAGUAGGGAAUCUUCCACAAUGGGCGAAAGCCUGACGGAGCAACGCCGCGUGAGUGAUGAAGGUCUUCGGAUCGUAAAACUCUGUUAUUAGGGAAGAACAUAUGUGUAAGUAACUGUGCACAUCUUGACGGUACCUAAUCAGAAAGCCACGGCUAACUACGUG